UCCCCCAUAAGAGUGGGUCAUUGUCACAACCAUAAAGUUGAGAAGCUCUGACAGGAGCUUUCCAGAUCCUCCUCCUUGAGUUUCUUUGUUUUGGUUAAGUUCCUCAUCUCGUUAGUCUAUCUCAGCUGUCAUGCAGUUGGACUG
Molecule: long non-coding RNA, 144 nt
Organism: Bufo bufo (common toad)
Lineage: Eukaryota; Metazoa; Chordata; Amphibia; Anura; Bufonidae
Exons: 3
Source: RefSeq, a predicted model, not a curated record